CGCAGACGAAGUGACCUUGCAAGCAAAGCAAAUCAUUCGGUACCCUUUGUGAUCAGCGUGACAUUCAGCAGGAGUGUUUCUACUGGGUCUGCAUCCCAAAGAGAUCUUAAAGAAGGGAAAGGGACCUCCAUGUGCCAAAAUGUUUGUGGCAGCCCUUUUAUAGUGGCCAGAAACUGGAAACUGAAUGGAUGCCCAUCAAUUGGAGAAUGGCUGAAUAAGUUAUGGAAUAUGGAUGUUAUGGAAUAUUAUUGUUCUGUAAGAAAUGACCACAAGAUGAUUUCAGAAAGGUCUGGAGAGACUUACAUGAACUGAUGCUGAGUGAAACGAGCAGGACCAGGAGAUCAUUAUAUACUUCAACAACAAUACUAUAUGAUGAUCAAUUCUGAUGGACAUGGCCAUCUCCAGCAAUGAGAUGAACCAAAUCAGUUCCAAUACAGCAGUAAUGAAUUGAACCAGCUACGCCCAGGGAAAGAACUUUGGGAGAUGACUAUGAACCACUACAUGGAAUUCCCAAUCCCUCUAUUUUUGUCCACCUGCAUUUUUGAUUUCCUUCACAGGCUAAUUGUACAUUAUUUCAAAGUCCAAUUCUUUUUGUACAGCAAAAUAACUGUUUGGACAUGUAAACUUAUAUUGUAUUUAACAUAUACUUCAACAUAUUUAACAUGUAUUGGUCAUCCUGCCAUCUGGGGGAGGGGGUGGGAAGGAGGGGAAAAGUUGGAACAAAAGGUUUUGCAAUUAUCAAUGCUGAAAAAAUACCCAUGCAUAUAACUUGUAAAUAAAAAGCUAUAAUUUAAAAAAAAAGAAAGAAAAAAGAAAAAAGAAAUACUUGUUGAGCCUUUUUUUGUAGUGUCUUGGAAAUGGAAACUGAGAGGAUACCCAUCAGUUGGAGAAUGGUUGAAGUUAUGAUGUGUGAAUAAAAGGAAAUAUUAUUGUUCUAUAUGAAA
Long non-coding RNA from Antechinus flavipes (yellow-footed antechinus), 944 nucleotides. RefSeq lists it as uncharacterized. The transcript is spliced from 2 exons. NCBI's taxonomy places the organism in Eukaryota, Metazoa, Chordata, Mammalia, Dasyuromorphia, Dasyuridae. The record is from RefSeq and is a predicted model, not a curated record.